RNAcentral lists this long non-coding RNA (8415 nucleotides) under Cucumis sativus (cucumber). RNAcentral's name for it is "long non-coding RNA (CSAT_LNC000185)". The record is from RNAcentral. Lineage: Eukaryota; Viridiplantae; Streptophyta; Magnoliopsida; Cucurbitales; Cucurbitaceae.
AUGAUAGAACUAAGUCAUGCACAGCGGAAAAAGAAUCGAAUUUCUACCCUAAUUGCCACAAUUAACAUGUAACCAUAAACUAAUCAAAUUAGGGUUUUAAGAAGUAUUACCUUUGAAGCUUACAAAAGGUUUGAUGUCUUCUUACCAAUUCUACCCGAGACCACCACUAGUACUCAACUGCUAUCCUCUAGACAAAGAACCGGGUUGUGGGACCCAAUUUUGGUGUAGAAAGUAAUGGAGAUAAAAUGAGAUUGGAAGCUUUCUUUUUCUUUUGUUGAGAUUAUGAAAAUGAUAAAAGAGGCAAAAGUCCUUCAACAUUUGAAAACAUCUCUAUUUAUAGCCUAAUUACAUGCAAAAAUGCAUGCAAUUCAAUUGCCAAAUCUCAACACCUAAUAUUCCACUAACAAUUAGUGGAACUUAGUGGGCUAGGUGUCUAUAUCUCAUAUAGCCACAUAUCCCACUAAGAGUUAGUGGGAUUAUCCAACAAAAUGUUGGAUUUUCCCACUAACUUAGUCCAAGGGUAAAAUGGUCAUUAGAUUUUUCUAGUCAAAAGUCAAACUUUGACUUUUCUAAGUCAAAAGUCAAUAUUUUGACUUUUUACCAUUUUGUCCGUCUUGACUAAUUCCAACCUCCCGAGCAUGAAUCCGCAUUCAUUUUUCCAAAAUUCAAAUCACAUUUGAAUAUAAGGCCGGUCAAAGUUUGACUUUUCAAAGUCAAAAGUCAACAUUUUGACUUUUUACUAUUUUUGACCAAUUCCGAGCUUCUUAGUAUGAAUCCGCAUUCAUACUUAUAGUAUGUAAAACAUAAAGCUCUAUUUCUAAUUAGAAGACCGACGAUUAUAUCACUGUAUAUGUCGGUUUUCCUUUCUUCUCCCUAUUCGAACAAUUCGACUUAUUUCAUCACACUGUUCUAAGUUUAAUCCAUAUGAGCUAGCAGAGGAACCUAAUGGACCUAUAGAUCAUGGGCUCCAACGAUUCAAGAUUAACUAGCUAAACUCUUUUAAACCGAGUUAAUCAACAUUCGUUAACUAACGGGUCAUUCCACUAAAGUCCCGUAGUUGCACUCCCCUCACUAUAGAUAUAUUUGUGUCCAUUUGAUAAAACCAUAAUCAGUAAGUUAAUCCUUCACAGGUUGCUCGUAACCUUGGCUGGGUCAAAAUACCGUUUUACCCCCAAGAUUACAUCUUGCUCCUUAAGUCCCACUAAUCCACUAUUGAACAAUUGGUUUAAGGUUCAACCUAUAAACUUAAUCCCUCUCGGGCCAAUGAGAGGGUGGGGCCCCUUGUUCAAGACUUGGAUUCAGUGCUUAAGAGAGCAACCUAUCUACUAACCCUAAAGCGGGUAGGAGUGAAUUCCAUCUUGUACCCUAUGUUCCCAGCUAUCCACCCGAUCUUACCCCUGAAAUGGGAGGCUUAUUGGGCCAACGCUGAUGAGCUGCCCUCACCUAUGCAGAUCUAAGGAUAAUCUCGUAUGAACAGGAGUUCAUAGUUAACUCAGGAUUAAGACUAAGUUACCUAGGUCAUCAAUAAUUGAGAUAGUCAGUUUUAAACAGUAAACGGUGUUAUAACGUAAAAAUGACUAAUUCAUGGUUCAGUCUUAUGUAAACAUUUUACAUAGGAUGCCCCCACUUUCAUGUCUCUACAUGAACGAUUAGGAUCACAUCGUUUGUACUACAAAGUGGGCCGCAUCCAUAGUCUCUCAAAAUAAGGCGCCCAACCUUUAUUUCAUAUACUAUAGACUAUUUAGGCUAUAUACUCGAACUUGAUCCACGUUUAUGUUUACACAUAAAGUUCAAGUUUAUUCAAAAAAUAGCCUUGGAACUUUGAUUUAUUGGAUUUAAGAUUAUAAUAUUUAAUUUCUCAAUAACAACUUUAUUGAAUAGAAUAUGAUUUACAAACUACGAUUUAGGACAAAAAAUUCCAACAAACUCCCACUUGGACUAAAAUUCCUAGUGGUAUGAGAGAUGUGGUGUGAGAGAAUAUAUAUGAAACUAGGGCACAUGGCCAAUAAGUCUCCCACUUGUCCUAGUUUACAAACAUCGUACACCUAAACUGUGUAGGUGACCCUCAAACACUUUAGCCAUGAGGGCUUUUGUAAAAUGAUCAGCUUCCAUUGUGGAAUCAGCUAUACAAGUUUGCUUUAUGCUUCUCCAAACUACUGCUCCUCCAUUUAGAGUAAAUACUGAUCUGAUGUAGACUUUCUAACAUCUUUAUUAGUUUGGAAAUCUGAAUCAGUGUAUCCAGUAAGGAUCAGAUCCUUUGUACGAUACAUGAGCAUGUAGAAUGUUUUUAACGGCUGUCCAGUGAUCACGUCCAUGAUUGGAUUGAUACCUACUGACCAUCCCUACUGAGUAGCAAAUGUCAGGUCUAGUACAUAACAUUGCAUACAUUAAACUUCCAACAGCGGAAGCAUAGGGAAUAUUUCUCAUAUCCUCAACUUCUUGAGGUGUCUUAGGACAUUGUUCCUUUGACAAAUGAAUUCCAUAUCUGUACGGCAGCAGACCCUUUUUGGAAUUCUGCAUUUUAUAUCUAGACAACAUUUUGUCUAUGUAAGAUGCUUGAGACAUGGCUAGUGUUUUGUUCUUACGGUUUCGAACAAUUUGGAUUCCGAGAACGUAUUGUGCAUCUCCCAGAUCUUUCAUUUGAAAUUGCAUAGCUAGCCAUUUCUUGAUAUCAGGAAGAUAUCCUAGUCAUUUCCAAUAAGUAGAAUAUCAUCUACAUAUAAGACUAAAAAUGCUAUAAUGGAAUUGACGACCUUUUGUAAACACAAGGCUCGUCAACAUUUUGUUCAAAGCCAUAAGAUUUUGAUCGCAAUAUCAAAUCUUAUAUUCCAGGAUCUAGAAGCUUGUUUUAAUCCAUAAAUGGAUUUUUUAAGCUUACAAACCUUUUGUUCUUGAUCUUGUUUUAUAAACCCCUCUGGUUGAGACAUAUAGAUGCUCUCUUCAAGAUUACCGUUCAAAAAAGCUGUCUUGACAUCCAUCUGCCAAAUUUCAUAAUCAUAAAAAGUGGCGAUGGAUAAGAGUAUUCUAAUUGACUUUAACAUGGCAACGGGAGAGAAAGUUUCCUCUAGUCUACUCCCUCUCUCUAGGUAUAACCCUUUGCCACAAGUCGAGCCUUAAAAGUCUGUACUUUACCGGCAUGGUCUCGUUUUCUCUUGUAGAUCCAUUUACAACCAAUAGGUUUUACGUCAUUUGGUUGAUCUACUAGAGUCUAGAAAGAAUUAAAGUACAUAGACUCCAUUUCGAGGUCCAUGGCUUUGAUCCAUUGGUCACGAUCUACAUCUUUCAUUGCCUGUUUAUAGGUUAAUGGAUCCUCUAUGCCAUCGUCAGGUAUGACGACUUGAGUUUCAAUUAAACCCAAAUAGCGAUCAGGCUGAUGAACAACCCUCCCACUACGUCGAGGCUCUCUCAACUGUUGAGAAGGAUGUGAUUGACCAGAUUUCCUAGUCUUAUCAACUACUUUAGUGGAUGAACUAGGUUUUAUCUAUAGCACUUUUGGAAAUUUCUUUAAAUACUAGUUUACUACGAGGUUGAUGAUCCCUGAUGUGGUAUUUUAUUUUCUUGAGGAUCAUAAAACAAACCACCUCUUGAUUCUUUUGGAUAACCUAUAAAAAAGCAUAAUUUUGAACGAUGUUCCAAUUUCUUUGGAUUUUGUACCAACACAUGUGCUGGACAACCCCAAAUUUUAAAAUGACGUAAACUGCCUUUACGCCCUUUCCAUAGCUCAUAAGGUGUUUCUGAAACACUUUUAGAGGGAACAUUAUUCAAAAUAUAAGCAGCUGUUUCUAAAGCAUAUCCCCAAAAAGAAUCUGACAUCUGAGAAAAACUCAUCAUAGAGCGAACCAUGUCUAACAAGGUCCAGUUUCUUCUUUCUGAUACACCGUUCUGUUGAGGUGUACUAGGUGCAGAGAGUUGUGACUGGAUUCCAUUUUCUAUUAAAUAGUCUCGGAAUCGUAAGUCCAUAUACUCUCCACCUCGAUCUGAUCGAAGUAUUUUUAUUGUUUUACCUAAUUCGUUUUCUACUUCAGCCUUAUAUUCUUUGAACUUUUCAAGACUAUUAGACUUAUGAUGUAUUAGGUAAAUAUGACCAUACCUUGAAUAAUCAUCAAUGAAGCUAAUGAAAUAUUCAUAUCCACCUCGAGUUUUGACAUUCAUUGGUCCACAAAGGUCCGAAUGUACGAGCUCUAAGGGUCCUUUGGCUCUUAGACCUUUUCCAGUAAAAGAUCUCUUGGUCAUUUUUCCUUCAAGACAAGAUUCACAAGGAGGUAAAGAGUUAUCUUCUAACGGACUUAGAAGCCCACUUUUAACCAAUCUCCCAAUCCUAUUGAGAUUUAUGUGACCAAGUCUUAAGUGCCAUAAAUAGGCAUUAGAAGAAACUUUUUGUCUUUUAUUCUGAGUUUCAGCUGUUCUGAAUAUUUCAGUAUUUAAGACAAAAUUUGCUCUAGUUGGUCUUAACUUAUAUAAGUUGUCUUCAAGUAUAGCAGAACAAACUAGAAUACCUUUAUAGAAAACGAACGCUUCAUUAAUUUCAAAAGAUAUUCUAUACAUUUGUUCCAAAAUACAAGAGAUAGAUAUUAAAUUUCUUUUCAUUUGAGGUACAUAUAAGACAUUCUUAAGUAUGACAUAUCUAUCUCUAAAAAACAACUUUAAAUCUCCCACUGCUGAAGCUGAGACCAUCUCUCCUGUUCCAACCUUGAGAGUGAUCUCGCCUUCUGAAAGCUUUUUCCAAGAACUAUUUUCCUGAAAUGAGAAGCAAAUAUGGUUAGUGGCUCCUGAAUCUAGUAUCCAGGUAGAAUUUUCAUAUUCCACUAAACAUGUUUCUACAACUAGUAAAUCAUAUUUACCUUGUGUUUCCUUCUCUGCCUUUUUUUCUGCAAGGUAUUUUGGGCAGUUUCUUAACCAGUGCCCGUUUUGGCCACAAUGGUAACACUUACCUUUUUCUGCAGCUUUCUUACCCUUGUUCUGUUUGGGAGUCUUUCCCUUUCCCUUCUUUUUUAUUUGAGCAUUAGGUUUUGAGGGUCCAGCUUUGGUUUUAGAGGACGAUCCUCUUAUAAAUUUUCUUUUUGUGGUAGCAACAUUUGCUUCCACUUGUUUUCCUUUACCCAUAGUUAGGUUUUGGAAUCGCUGGAGUUCAUUCAGAAGGGUUGUCAAGUUAAAUUCUAUCUUGUUCAAAGACGCAUUCGUUUGGAAUGGAAUGAAGCUCUUCGGAAGAGACUCUAAGAUAAAACUAACUUGAUUAACCUCUUCGAUGGGACCACCAUUCACUUCAGCGAUGUUGAAGUGCAUCAUCAUGUCCAGAACAUGUUCUCUAACAGAGGUCCCUUCGCUUCAUACGCUUAGUGUAAAUGUAUUUGACUGCCUCGUGUCUUAAGGACCAUUCUGGUUGCCCAAACAUUCCCCUUAAUGAAUCCAUAAUCUCUUUAGCCGUGGCUAAGGAUUCAUGUUUCUUUGCCAAUACAUCAGACAUGCUGGCAAGAAUGUAAACACGGGCUUUUUCAUUAGCUUUUAUCCAUCGAUCAUAUGCAUCCCGACUAGUUCGGUUAGCAUUAGAGGCAGGGUUUUGAGGACAUUCCUCAGUUAAGACAAAUCUUAAAUCGUCAACCACUAGUAUUGUGUUAAGAUUUGAUUUCCAAGCCGCAUAAUUAUCGCCAUUAAGUUUUUCGGAAGCUAAAAGUUGAACUAUUGAGCUAUUCAUGCUGAAAAACAAACAUAUUCUUUUUAGGAAAAAACUAUAAUCAUAAAAAAUAUCCAAUCUAAUUUAGCAAUUACUAAUAAUGUACCCUUUCAUUAUUUGUAUUUUGCAACAAUAUUUCAAAGGUUUAGAACAACCUUCUCCGAAGGGUAGUUGAUUAUUCCUCCUUUGAACCAAGACAAUCUUGACUAGAUGCUAUCUCAAGAAUAACUCUUUAUUCUUUAUAGCACUUAGUUAUCGCUACUUUAGUCAAGAAUAUACUAACAACUUAGUAAUUCUUGUAAGUGUUACCCACCAUUUUCAGAUUUUAUAGAUUAGAAUCAUUUAUGAAAACUAAUCUAAGAAAUCCUAUCCAGUUUUGGAGUUCGCGGUGUUCCGAAUCCUAUAAUACAACCCUCCGAAGGGAACGUCGCUCCAGGGCAGACAAGCAGGCAUAUUAUAGAAAUCUCACGGUGCGACCUAAUGGAAGAGACCGUGGGAUGUGCUGCCACAAAUCCCUCACCCACUUACUAUGAACUACUUCCCCUAUUCACCUUGAUUUUGAUCCAUGCAAACACUCUCCGAAGGGAGGCCGCUCCUAUGCACGGCACAAAGCCCUGCAUGGACCUCACGGUGUGAACUCUUAGGGACACUAGAGCUAAAAUACAUUAUUUUUCUCUAGUUGAAGUGUUCUAAAAGAAAAAAAUAGGGUAAUCCAAACUUCAAGAUUUAUAUUUAGGCUAACUUAAACAAAUCUUAAGUCUAGAUAAAACAUCCAAGUAUAACCAUUAUACAGGAUUUUAACCUAUGAUGUCUAGGUGAAAAACCAUUUUUAUUACCUCACACCUCUCACGAAUGCUCAUAAAACUAGGUUAACUAGGCUCAAGAACUGAUUACGAUCUCCAGGUAGGAGGUGUUCCGUAAACCGUCAACUUAAGAACCUCCAACCUUAGUCAUCUUAUCUGACUUGUUGACAAGAUUGAACCAGGUGAGCCUUUUGUAACCAGUUUUACAAGAUAUCGACCUAUUUCUAUGAAAAAUGGAAGAUAUGUUUAACCUAAGUGAGCAUGCAUUUAAUCUUUGUUAUUGAUUUUAAAAGUCUAAUUUAUUUUAUAACACUUAUAAAAACUUUUAAACUUAAUCAAUCAUUUUAUCAAUAUAUAAUAUAAAAACAAUCAAUUAAUAUGGAUUUUAAUUUAUUUAACUUUAAUUAAAUCAUAUUUAAUUAAAUUAAAUCAAACAAUAAUUAAUUAAUUUGAUUAAAUCAUAUUUAAUCAAGAAUAACUUAAUUAAUUAAAUAAUUAAUUAAUCAUAUUAAUUAAUUUCCAUAUUAAUCAAUUAACAUGCAUACAAUACAAUAUAACCUUUAUAUCAUACAUUUUAAUGCAUGAACAUGUUAACCUAUGGUGGGAUUUUAAAUCUAUAUGACAUUCAAAAUGCACAUACAAAUUUAAAGUAAUUUAAUCAUACAUCACAUGCAUAAAUAAAAAAAACACCCUAAAAUGGACUGAUUUUUGGCUCCUAAAUUAAGCUAAGUGCUAAAUUAUUACAUAAUUAAUUUGGUGUAGUACAGAACCACUCCCAAAAAUUUCGAACCGGCUAAAAAACCAACCGAAACCGCUUGAACCGGCCCAAAAACCAAAUUUAUUGGCUUGAACCGGCCCAGGCGCACACGGGUCGUGCGAAGGCAGGCGCGCGGGCGAAGGCGGGCGCGCGGGCGCAUGCGGGCGCGCGGGCACAGGCGGGCGCACGGGCGCAUGCAGGCGCGCGGGCGCAGGGGGCGCGCGGGCGCAGGAGGCGCGCGGGCGCAGGCGGCGUGCGGGCGCAGGAGGGCGCGCGGGCAUGCGGGCGCGUGCGGGUCGCGAAGCGGGUCAAAACCGGGUUUUCGGGUCUGUGACCUUCUUUUCUUCAUUUUUUUCAAUUCUCUCACCCGGUUGAACCAAUUACAGCCUAGCUUCAACUCUAAUGACUUUUUUUAUUUUUUAAAAAAUUACAAACACUUUGCAACAAUAAAAAUAAGCCAUUAACAAGGCUAAUUACAAUAAUUAGAACAAAAACACUUAAUCUAGAGCCAAAAUCAUAAUAUAUCCAUUUUAGUUCAAACCAAAAUUUAUCUAAUAAAUAUGAACCCACCACAUGCAAUUGGGUAAAAAUGAAGCAUGCUCUGAUACCACAUGAUAGAACUAAGUCAUGCACAGCGGAAAAAGAAUCGAAUUUCUACCCUAAUUGCCACAAUUAACAUGUAACCAUAAACUAAUCAAAUUAGGGUUUUAAGAAGUAUUACCUUUGAAGCUUUCAAAAGGUUUGAUGUCUUCUUACCAAUUCUACCCGAGACCACCACUAGUACUCAACUGCUAUCCUCUAGACAAAGAACCGGGUUGUGGGACCCAAUUUUGGUGUAGAAAGUAAUGGAGAUAAAAUGAGAUUGGAAGCUUUCUUUUUUCUUUUGUUGAGAUUAUGAAAAUGAUAAAAGAGGCAAAAGUCCUUCAACAUUUGAAAACAUCUCUAUUUAUAGCCUAAUUACAUGCAAAAAUGCAUGCAAUUCAAUUGCCAAAUCUCAACACCUAAUAUUCCACUAACAAUUAGUGGAACUUAGUGGGCUAGGUGUCUAUAUCUCAUAUAGCCACAUAUCCCACUAAGAGUUAGUGGGAUUAUCCAACAAAAUGUUGGAUUUUCCCACUAACUUAGUCCAAGGGUAAAAUGGUCAUUAGAUUUUUCUAGUCAAAAGUCAAACUUUGACUUUUCUA